This 403-nucleotide ribosomal RNA is filed under the name bacterium. Its description in RNAcentral is "partial 16S ribosomal RNA". It matches the Rfam family "Bacterial small subunit ribosomal RNA", at positions 355 to 776 of the family's 1533-position model. The record is from RNAcentral.
UGGGGAAUAUUGCACAAUGGAGGGAACUCUGAUGCAGCGACGCCGCGUGAACGAAGAAGGCUUUCGAGUCGUAAAGUUCUUUUAUAUGGGAAGAUAAUGACGGUACCAUAAGAAAAAGCCCCGGCUAACUACGUGCCAGCAGCCGCGGUAAUACGUAGGGGGCUAGCGUUGUCCGGAAUCACUGGGCGUAAAGGGUUCGCAGGCGGAAAUGCAAGUCAGGUGUAAAAGGCAGUAGCUUAACUACUGUAAGCAUUUGAAACUGCAUAUCUUGAGAAGAGUAGAGGUAAGUGGAAUUUUUAGUGUAGCGGUGAAAUGCGUAGAUAUUAAAAAGAAUACCGGUGGCGAAGGCGACUUACUGGGCUCAUUCUGACGCUGAGGGACGAAAGCGUGGGUAGCAAACAGG